UGGAUCGAUGAUGAUUUCUGGUCAUCAUCAAUAUGAGUCAUAACGAUGAAUACAUGUCUAGAACUCUGAGGUCCAA
RNAcentral lists this small nucleolar RNA (76 nucleotides) under Phocoena sinus (vaquita). RNAcentral's name for it is "Small nucleolar RNA SNORD113/SNORD114 family (ENSPSNG00000000614.1)". It matches the Rfam family "Small nucleolar RNA SNORD113/SNORD114 family". From Rfam's summary of the family: The imprinted human domain at 14q32 contains two clusters of tandemly repeated small nucleolar RNAs named 14q(I) and 14q(II) snoRNAs. These two clusters are named SNORD113 and SNORD114 respectively in the HGNC approved gene symbol nomenclature. The snoRNAs found in both clusters are clearly related and are represented here by a single family. The record is from Rfam by way of RNAcentral. Lineage: Eukaryota; Metazoa; Chordata; Mammalia; Artiodactyla; Phocoenidae.